Molecule: ribosomal RNA, 468 nt
Filed under: uncultured bacterium
Lineage: Bacteria
Description: partial 16S ribosomal RNA
Rfam family: Bacterial small subunit ribosomal RNA
Source: RNAcentral
GACGAACGCUGGCGGCGUGCUUAACACAUGCAAGUCGAACGGAAAGGCCCUGCAUUUGUGGGGUGCUCGAGUGGCGAACGGGUGAGUAACACGUGAGUAACCUGCCCUUGACUUUGGGAUAACUUCAGGAAACUGGGGCUAAUACCGGAUAGGAGCUCCUGCUGCAUGGUGGGGGUUGGAAAGUUUCGGCGGUUGGGGAUGGACUCGCGGCUUAUCAGCUUGUUGGUGGGGUAGUGGCUUACCAAGGCUUUGACGGGUAGCCGGCCUGAGAGGGUGACCGGCCACAUGGGGACUGAGAUACGGCCCAGACUCCUACGGGAGGCAGCAGUGGGGAAUAUUGCACAAUGGGCGGAAGCCUGAUGCAGCAACGCCGCGUGCGGGAUGACGGCCUUCGGGUUGUAAACCGCUUUCGCCUGUGACGAAGCGUGAGUGACGGUAAUGGGUAAAGAAGCACCGGCUAACUACGUG